AGAGUUUGAUCCUGGCUCAGAAUCAACGCUGGCGGCGUGCCUAACACAUGCAAGUCGAACGAGAAAGCGGGGGCAACUCCGCGAGUACAGUGGCGAACGGGUGAGUAACACGUGACUAACCUGCCUUCGAGCGGGGGAUAACCCCGGGAAACCGGGGCUAAUACCGCAUAACAUCCCAGGAUGAAAUUCCCUGUGAUCAAAUGCGCAAGCAGCUUGAAGAGGGGGUCGCGCCUGAUUAGCUAGUUGGUGAGGUAACGGCUCACCAAGGCGAUGAUCAGUAGCCGGCCUGAGAGGGCGCACGGCCACACUGGAACUGAAACACGGUCCAGACUCCUACGGGAGGCAGCAGUGGGGAAUUUUGCGCAAUGGGGGAAACCCUGACGCAGCAACGCCGCGUGGAG
This 401-nucleotide ribosomal RNA is filed under the name uncultured Acidobacteriota bacterium. RNAcentral describes it as "bacterial SSU rRNA". It matches the Rfam family "Bacterial small subunit ribosomal RNA", at positions 8 to 406 of the family's 1533-position model. Lineage: Bacteria; Pseudomonadati; Acidobacteriota. The record is from RNAcentral.